AUGCUGGACCCGCUCUUCCUGUACGCCGUGUCGGUGAGCGGCCCGCUCAUGUGCGUCUUCCUCGACGGCUGGCUCGCCGCCGCGGUCACCGUGCUCCGCUGCAUGGUGGACGCCAUGCACGCGGGGAACUGCGUUACGCAGGUCCGCGUCGUGCGCGCCGAGGCCAUGGCAGCGAAACGGACGCGGCGCCGGAUCGCUGACAAGGAGCAGGCCGCGGCGGACGCGGACCAGGCGGAGGUCGACGCCGCGGCCGCGCGAAGCCUGCCGGCGUACGCCAGGUCCAGGAAAGGGAUGGCGCUUGACUUCUCGAAAUCAUUCUGGGAAGCUUACGCACCCCGGUCGUGUUAUCUUGGCCGCCCGUACGCGCUGGGAUCCGUGCCGUCGUCAGCCGCUAAAACAGGUCACGGGCAUUGCGGCAGUGUGAUUACCCACCACAGGUCUGUGAUCAUUCUAGUUCCAGUAGGCUACUGUGCAUGA
Molecule: ribosomal RNA, 477 nt
Filed under: Triticum aestivum (bread wheat)
Lineage: Eukaryota; Viridiplantae; Streptophyta; Magnoliopsida; Poales; Poaceae
Description: partial small subunit ribosomal RNA
Source: RNAcentral